AGUGAACGCUGGCGGUAGGCCUAACACAUGCAAGUCGAACGGCAGCACAGUAAGAGCUUGCUCUUACGGGUGGCGAGUGGCGGACGGGUGAGGAAUACAUCGGAACCUACUUUUUCGUGGGGGAUAACGUAGGGAAACUUACGCUAAUACCGCAUACUACCUACGGGUGAAAGCAGGGGAUCUUCGGACCUUGUGCGAUUGAAUGAGCCUAUGUCGGAUUAGCUAGUUGGCGGGGUAAAGGCCCACCAAGGCGACGAUCCGUAGCUGGUCUGAGAGGAUGAUCAGCCGCACUGGAACUGAGACACGGUCCAGACUCCUACGGGAGGCAGCAGUGGGGAAUAUUGGACAAUGGGCGCAAGCCUGAUCCAGCCAUACCGCGUGGGUGAAGAAGGCCUUCGGGUUGUAAAGCCCUUUUGUUGGGAAAGAAAAGCAGCAGGUUAAUACCCCGCUGUUCUGACGGUACCCAAAGAAUAAGCACCGGCUAACUUCGUG
Molecule: ribosomal RNA, 492 nt
Filed under: uncultured bacterium
Lineage: Bacteria
Description: partial 16S ribosomal RNA
Rfam family: Bacterial small subunit ribosomal RNA
Source: RNAcentral